CUCAUGUAUCUCAGAUGCCUUUCAUGAUUUUCAAAAGCUUUGGAUUAUAUUGACAAAAUUGUCCUUGUCUUUUCUCCAGGAUGCUUACGGUGAAGCGUGUCCUUUGCAGGCAAAAAUUCUCAAGGUGAAAUUGUUGUUAACAUUGAAAGACUACUUAAGUGCUAUUUCAGAGACUGGAUACAUACUUAAACAAGAUGAAGAUAAUUUGGAGGCACUACUGCUUCGUGGCCAUUCUUAUUAUUAUCUCUCAGACCAUGAUGUUGCUACAUGGUUUGACUUAUGAAAAUUCCUAUACAGAAUUACAGAUAUAUGUAAAAGGUUUCAAACCUUGUGUCAUAUGUGCACUCUUUUGCACUUUGCUGCAAUGAUGUUCUCCUUUUAUUUAAGCUGCAGUUAUUAACUCAACUCUGCAGAUUAUCACUUCCAAACAUUUGCAAUGUCUAAUGUCUGCACAUGUUUAACAUUCUGUUGCAUGCUAGAGCUAAUUUAUUCUAGUGCUUUUGGUAUGCCAAGAAAAAGUGAACAAAAAAAAACAUGAAAGUUCAGAAGAAAGUUUAAGAUGCAGGCAGUCCUAUAUCUAUGUUGGUAACCAUGCAUAUUGUUCAGAUGUGAUAUACUUUGCUAAAGGAAACAAAAAUUAAAGCCUAAAGGAAACAAAAAGGGGCAAGCAAUCUUUUUUUCAACUAAUUUUUUUAAUUACUGCAAACAGGUUAAAUAGGUCGGGUCGGAUUGGACAAACAAGUUAACCAGAUCAAGUUAGGAUGGGUUGGGCAAACAGGUUAACUGUUUAUUAAACAGAUUAAACGGGUCGGGUCGGGUUACCUGUUUAAUAAAUAGGUUAGGUUCAGGUUGUAAUUUCUGACCUGUUUAAUAAACAGGUCAGGUUCAGGUUUAUGAUUUUCUGACCCGAUCUGUAUAUGAUCCGACCUGUUUAUGUCUGACCCGACCCGAUUGCUACCCCUAGUGGCAACAGGUGGCUGUUGUUUGACACAUCGAUUUCAGGGGCAAAGCUGCGAGCUGCCUGGGCAGGUCGGCGUCAUGCACCAGUUCGAUCAUUCUAGAGGGCGACUUGGCCACGGUUAUCAGGUGGAUUCAGAGGGGGUCGAGGGGUGACAAUACAAACCACCCCUUGAUUCAUGACAUUGGGAUGAUGAUGAAAGAUGGAAGGGCCUUAUGCCUUUGUUUCCCUUAUGAAACACCUGCUUUCAAAUGACCGGUGUUGGAAGAGCACAUUAAUAAUAACUGAAAAACCCACCCUUAUGCCUUGAGUGCUCAGCUUCGUCCCUGGAGAAUCGGCAUGCCAAGAGAGAUCUCCCUCAUCAUAGGAGUGAAGAAAGGACCACAAAAAUACAGGUAGAGUGACAGAAAAAUGGUACCAGUCGUGGAAGAGAAAGUUGUGAAUUGGUCUCAAUAAGAGACCUAGCGCACCUCAUGCGCAGAUGCGUGGAAUAACAUGCGCCCAAGGAAAAUACUAAGACAGGAGUUUCUGGUAACAACUAGUAAUCUUUGGUCUGCUAAUGGUCCAUGGACUCGCAUUCAGUAAUUAGUCUUUUUAAGCUAUGUAAUUAGUUUUCAGCACAUGCUAUGUGCGAGUGCAGGGGGCUGGAGUAGAACACAAAAACAGAAACAAAAAAAAAAAGAAACCGACUCAGACAAAAUGUGGCUCAAACAAAAAUUCAACUGCAGUUAGAAGGCGAGCAAGUAUUUUCAAUUCUUUAGUUUACCUUUGUUUCCCUAUACAAAGACAACAUCAUAAACCAAAACCAAGUGAAAUAAAACUAACGACAAUAAAACAACACUCUAAGCACAAGGGCACUAGUCCUUUUUCCAUUUUUCAGCACCCUAAAUAAAAGUACACAAACAAAUACAAAAGUAUAAUCAAAUGCAAAAGCAUAAGUGUGCUCAGAAGAAAUAAUCAAAUCAUAGAGCAGCCUCAUAUGCCAAGACCUAUAAUUCAGCUUCGUCAUCACAGCUGAAAAAUCAAACCUCAAAGAAUGGCAAAGAAUGGUUACUUUGUUAAAACAAAGCACGCGCACAAAAAAGAAGUGCAAUGUAAAUAUUAAGGAUAGAUCUCUCAAGCUUUUCAUAAUCCAUAUGCAGUAACCUAAUUAUUAACCAGAAAAGUAUAUAAAUGUUAUACAAACUCAUGAGGGAGAUUGCUACCAAUCCAUCACAACCAUCAAGAUUCAAUGGCUGAUAACUCCCCACCAACAAUGUAGUUUCCAAUAAAAAUGUUUGGAGAGAAAGCAGAGAAAGGAGUGUCUAAUUUAGAUAGUUAAACAAGGGGAGGAGAAAUGAUGCCAAGAGGUAUCUGCUAACCAAUUUUUCUUCAAAUCUCUCUCUAUUUUAAGAUAGAGAUUUCCAACUUAAAAAAUAAACUUUUUGUAGAAUUUUACCCAAAAAAAAAUCCGGACAUGAAAAGAGCUUUUCUUGCGGCUAGGAUCUGCCAACCAAGAGAUGACUAUAAACUAAUAACUAAACAGCAAGUGUGCAUUAAUGAACAAUUUAAUAAUCGGAGAUUGUUUCUGGAGAAACACAGUUCUGAAACACUUAACAAGACUCAAAUGAUGAAGACAAGGCUAAAAUCGAUAAAAAGUUAAAAAAAAUAGAAGAAUAAUCCGUUGCAAAAACAACUAUAGAAGAAAACUUUUGAUCCAAUAUUCCAAAUGGACAAUCAUAUAUGGCAUCAGAUAAUAAGCGGAGUGUAAGUCCACACAACCACUUCAGUGUGUAGGAUAAGAUAUUUGCAUGAAUUGCCAUCCCUCCAGAAUCCUAAACAAAUUCCAAAGCUUGCAAUCUUGUAAAAAUGUUAGCAUACCGAGUAAAACUAAUGAAAACAUGACUCAAAAGUGCGGUAGUUAGAAAAGGGGCAUCAGAUAAUAAGCGGAGUUUUUGUCCACACGACAUUUCGGUGUGUAGGAUAAGAUUUCGCAAUCACAUCACUUGCCAACUUAACAAAUUUUUGUUCUUAAUACAUGAAUUUUUUGCUGCAAAAAAUAGGAAUUUCGAGUGGACCAUUUGACACCAGAGCAACCAAGUAUUAUGCAUUGGGCUGGUAAGCCAACCAUUUAGCUCUCUGCACCCGUUAUAUCUCCCCAGACAAAGAAUAAACCAUCUGAGAAGAGAGUAACUGGUGCAAUUCCUUUGCUACAAAGCUUAUAUAACCAAAAAAAAAAAAAAAACUAUUACAAGAUUAAAAAGUGGUGUCAAUCGAUAGCUCAGAAGAUGCGUAUUUAAUCAAAGACACAAAAUAGAUAUCAGAUGUCCAGACAUAGAAAAUUUUCGGCAUCCUCAUCAUAGCAUAUCAACAAACACUUUAUAUGAAAUUAAAUAAGAAAAGUUAAGAGAAAAAAAA
This is a non-coding RNA of Phoenix dactylifera (date palm), 3355 nucleotides long. The record is from RefSeq and is a predicted model, not a curated record. NCBI's taxonomy places the organism in Eukaryota, Viridiplantae, Streptophyta, Magnoliopsida, Arecales, Arecaceae.